CAACAGAAAUUUAUUUUCUCACAGUUCUGGAGGCUGGGAAGUCCAAGAUCAAGGUAUUGGCAGGGUUGGGUUCUUCUGAGGUCUCUCUCCUUGGCUUGUAAAUGUUCACCUUCUCACUGUGCCUUCACAUGGCCU
Molecule: microRNA precursor, 135 nt
Filed under: Chlorocebus sabaeus (green monkey)
Lineage: Eukaryota; Metazoa; Chordata; Mammalia; Primates; Cercopithecidae
Description: miRNA (ENSCSAG00000027746.1)
Source: RNAcentral